GGGGGUAUAGCUCAGCGGCAGAGAGCGUGCUUAGUGUGCACAAGGUCCCGGGUUCAAUCCCCAGUGUCUCCA
This 72-nucleotide transfer RNA is filed under the name Camelus bactrianus (Bactrian camel). It matches the Rfam family "tRNA". Rfam says of the family: Transfer RNA (tRNA) molecules are approximately 80 nucleotides in length. Their secondary structure includes four short double-helical elements and three loops (D, anti-codon, and T loops). Lineage: Eukaryota; Metazoa; Chordata; Mammalia; Artiodactyla; Camelidae. RNAcentral also lists the same sequence under 2 other names. The record is from Rfam by way of RNAcentral.